AAAAUAGUUAACUUGUGGCUUUGACUAUUAAGCUGAAUCUUUUACACAUUAAAUAUACUAAUUUUUUGACACGUUUGUGUUGCCCGUGGAUUCUAAUUCCUUUAGUACACAAUUUAAGUAAAAUUGCAUCAAUAUUCUGUAACUGACAUUCCUGAAGAGAUCUGCUCAAGCAAGAACAAAAAGUUCCUCACAACCUUUUUUUAACUCAUAGAUGGUGUUUACAUUAACUCAACAACUACAUGACACAUGUCGUUCACAUACACGUAUCGCUGACCAUGGUAAUUCGUAUUGUGUGCUUUCAACCUCGAUCUAUCGAUUAGUCAUAGUAAAACCACUAUGGUUUAGUGUAAACAUCGGAUGUGAGUAAAGGAAUUAGAAUAUUGGAAGUUCAUAUACAAAAAAUCAAACAAACAAAUCCCUCUCCCACCUCAACCAACAUAAUUAAUAAAUGAGCUAGUCAAUUUCAUAAUCUCCUAUUUCUACCCACAACAUUUGUCCCCCACAUCAACCCUAGCUACCUCUCUAAUCAACACUAUUUCCUUUUAUUUUCCCAAAAGUUUUCCACCAUUGGUAAAAAAUUAGGGGUUUCAGAUCGACGAGUUGGAUUGAAUUUAAAUGAGUCAAUAGUUACGUGAACAGAAGUGGACUAAAAAGUGAGUCAUAAUUUAACCAACUUAAUUUUAAUUUCUUUAUUUUCUUUAACUUUUUAGUUGAAAUGAUCACACACUCAUAACUCGUAUAUCGAAAAUUUCAUAAAGCAUAAUUUAUUUAUUUUUGGUACAAAAUUUUUACAAACUUAUCAAAAAGACGUGUUGAUCAAUCCGAUGUUUAAAUUGAUCAAAUUAGUAAUACUUAGGUUAAUCAAAAUUAAGUGAUAUAUUAAGGUAACAAAAUAUUCAUUAAUCAUGAUUAAAUAGUAGACAUACAUGUAAUAGAAUACUUAACACUUAUACAUUAAACCAUAGUUUAAUGUAAAUAUGGAGAAGGGUCAAAAUUGCCCCUGAACUUUAUGAAAUAGAUCACUUAUACCCUCCGUUACAUUUUGGGAUCAAAAAUACCCCCGCNNNNNNNNNNNNNNNNNNNNNNNNNNNNNNNNNNNNNNNNNNNNNNNNNNNNNNNNNNNNNNNNNNNNNNNNNNNNNNNNNNNNNNNNNNNNNNNNNNNNNNNNNNNNNNNNNNNNNNNNNNNNNNNNNNNNNNNNNNNNNNNNNNNNNNNNNNNNNNNNNNNNNNNNNNNNNNNNNNNNNNNNNNNNNNNNNNNNNNNNNNNNNNNNNNNNNNNNNNNNNNNNNNNNNNNNNNNNNNNNNNNNNNNNNNNNNNNNNNNNNNNNNNNNNNNNNNNNNNNNNNNNNNNNNNNNNNNNNNNNNNNNNNNNNNNNNNNNNNNNNNNNNNNNNNNNNNNNNNNNNNNNNNNNNNNNNNNNNNNNNNNNNNNNNNNNNNNNNNNNNNNNNNNNNNNNNNNNNNNNNNNNNNNNNNNNNNNNNNNNNNNNCUUUGGAUAAAACUCCACACUUAGUAUCUGGUUGUUUAUCAAAAGAAAUAAUAUGUUCAACUUUUUUUCGUUCCACAUGGUAUUGAAAUGUAGAAUUAGUAACAGAAUACAUAACUUUGAAUACAUUGCUUGAGUUAUGGAACUUAUGGAGGUUAAUUUUUGGGAGGAUGAAUUGAUAGGUUAGUGGAAAUCCUAGUUGGCAGCUCAGGUGGAGGAAUCAGUCCUAUGUGGCUUGCCACGUCACUAAAAAUUUAGAAUGUUAACUUUUGAAGGGUAUUUGUGGUCACUUGGGAUAACGGCGGGGGUAUUUUUGAUCCAAAAAUAUAACGGAGGGUAUAAGUGAUCUAUUUCAUAUAGUUCAGGGGCAAAUUUGACCCUUUUCCGAUGUAAAUAUGAUAAAAUUCGAUUUACUAGUAUAAAAAGUCAUGUGUAGUAUUAUUCUUUGUUCGACUAAAAUGAAUUUAAAUGAUACGACAUGAACUGUGAAGACUCGUAUACGAACACAAGCCUCUUAGCUUCCACAACCAAUCCUUAUUUACUAAAUUCCGAACACAUGCAAAUCAGAAAAGACCGAUGCGUUGUUGAACAAUAGGCAGCGGCUUUAGGAUUUGAACUUUUUAUGAGUGCGGAAAUAUUAAUUAAAAAAACAUGAGCGGAAGGGAAGACUUUGCACCUCUAAAUUAUCUUAUCAGAGCCAAGUAUCGAUCAUGGACCUGUGGGUUAUGGGCCCACCACGCUUCCGCUGUGCCACUCUGAUUUGUUGUUAAUGUUUUGCUCAUAUUAAUAUAAAUAUAUUGUCUUUGUUUUACGUUGAUUUCUAGCAAUAUUAGUUAUUCAUGAAUAAUUUACCUUCCUAACUAGCCAACAAACAUGAUAUUGCUUAUGCCAGAUUUAAUACAUGUAUAACUCAUUUACAAACCAAAUACCAAAUCAUAACAAUUUGUAAUCGUCGAUGUGUAAUCAAUGUUGAUAUAUAUUAUUACUCCACAUAAUUUGAAUUCCAAGAAUCAAACUUCUUUAUUUUAACUAUGCAUUCAUACAUACAAUUAUUUAAGCUUUUUAAAAAAUAAUUUGCAUAAAUAUAAAUAAUUUAUUUUGAAGUUUGUGUAUCUCAAAAUUGAAGUGUGUUUUUGUUUAUUAUGUCUUGUGAUAAAACCUGGACUAGAUUCCACGCUUAUGUAUUAUGCCAUAUUAUAAAACCUGGGCAACAUUUUAUGUUGAACUGGCACUACAACGACAUACCCAAUGUAACCGACAUCCAAUCCAACAAAUAAAGUCCGAAGAGGAUAGAAUGUGCAAACAACCUUAAUCCUACCUCACCUAUUAUUUGCGAAGGACCCUCGAGAAAAAAUAAAUAUGGAACUAGCAUUGUAAACAUAAAAUUUCGGAUGUCUUCAACCAAGGGAUAUGCAAUCGGAAAGCAGCGCUGAUGCAGCCAGAUCACCGAUGCACCGGAAAAAGUAUAACUCUUCUCACUUCCACAACAGUUUUUCUAACUUGAAAGGCGAUAAAUCAUUGAUUGUAUAAGCUGUUAAAAGGUAGAAAUACAAGGGAGACUGGCAAAAGAACGAAUGCAGUGCUAUUGUAAUCGUAAAUUCUAUCAUCAUUGACAAGCAAAAUGCUUCGUAAGACAUCCACAAAAAUGAUACUGGGUUUACAAGCAACCCAAUAAAAAUAGAAGACCAUUACCUGCAUGAUUAUAUACCCAAUAACUUAAAAGUGCUGCAAUAACAAACACAUCUAUCAUCAUCAUCCCCGUAAUACUAAUAACUGAAGAGUGUAAUUACAUGUCAGGAAGAGCUGAAAGGGUUAACUGGAUUUUGCCUGGACACUGUACAAAAAAGAUAUGGUCGCAGCUUCAAACAAUGAUAUACUCCUUACAAUGCGCAAGUAACAACCUCCGUGUCCUGAAUAACCCACCCUUCCGACACAAUACCACGCCAUGUAACCUUUCUCUCAGGAGAAACAGUAUACCUUCUUUUCAAACAGUACGCUAAACUUCACGAAGAUAACAUGGGUUAUUUGUUCUUUCUCAGCACCGGAUGUCCUGUGCUUGGUUACCUUGACCAGAGAAGAAGACUUCCACCAUGUCAGCCCUCUGACUCGACAUUCAAGAUUAUUGGCAAGGAAUAUGUCACCAACUGACCUGAAUUAUUGGCAAACUCUUUUUACCUCAUCUUAAGGUCAGAUAAGACGGUCACAUGUUGACCGCACAAACCAAAUUGCUGGAUGCAAAACUAUAACCCAUCAAUCAUCAUAUAACAACCAUGCGGUCUUCAACUAUUGUAAUGGAGUUUCUGAUUUUGGAAGCCCUGGCUUUGUGGCCCUUGCUGCUGUUGAGGCUGGGAACUUUGCAAGUUCAAUGGUUGUGUAUUGUAGUGCGCAAAUGGCUGAGAGUAAAUUGGAUUGAGUAAACUCUGGAAAGAAAGGAAACAAAUUCAAGCGCCAUUCCAAGGAAAAACUGAAUCAUCCAAGUCACAAUGAGACUUGGUGAAAUGAACAAAUAGCAAGAAGAGAAUAUUUUGCAAUAAGCAAAGUCUGCCGAACUAUAUCCUGGUGAAGAAUCACCUUCUCAAUCUGGUGGACUUCGCCUGAUGCUUAUUUCAAAUAUUGAUCACAUUGAACAAUUUAGAAAACUCAGGCAGAAUUAAAUAAUAAAUUAACCUGAGACUGAAGUGAAUUAACAUUGGACAUGCCAAAAUGAUUCUGUGAACCAUCAUCUUGUGAUGGAUCAUUAUAUCCAGCUUGCGUAAAUAGACCUUGCGAACCAUGAGACAUAUAGUCCUGCACAGAUAUCAGAAGUUCGAUAAGCAGAGGACCAAAAGCGAACUGGAAGAUAGGAGAAAAGAGAUCAUAGGCGACUUCACAUAGCUCAUCCACCAAGCCACCCAGUCAGAAGUGCCAACAGAUCAGCCCAUCAUGUAUGAUGAACUGCAUUACUUCGAGACUAGACUCUCAUAUUCAAAAUCAUAUCCUCCAGGUCUAAAAGAGUGAGAUGAGGGGCCAAAGAAGUGGAAUUUAAAUUAACCUGAGACAUGAAUUCAUUUCCUGAACCAAAACGGGAGUAUCCAGACUGAGAAUUUUGGUUUAAAAAGUUCCCUGGAAACCCAGCCUGUGCUCCUUGAGUUACAUAAUCAACAGCAUAUGCGCCUUGAGAAGCCUAAAUACCAGUACAACAAAGGCCAGUUAAUAUAAAAAAGAAAUGUUAUCCUACAUAUUAUGCAUAAAUUAAGGCAGUGAUGGCAGGCGCAAUUAACAAAUUACUAGAGGUGUAAAGGACAGGCACCUGUGUAGAGAAGUCAGCAACAUUAUAUGGAACAUGAGACCCCUGGCUCUUGAAAUCAUCUCCCACAAAAUCCUGAUUAAAAAAUUUAAGGUAAAUAUGAUAGAGAAAACAAAUUAACAUAUCAAUUUUGAUGUCCAGAAUCAAUCACCUGUGACAUGCUACCCAUAGAAUGUCCAUCCCGGAAUGACUGGCCUGGUCCCUGGAUAGCCAUCUAUAAUUCAAAAAAGAAAAAAUGCUUACACCAAAUCACUUACCAUUUCAUCAAAUAAACAAACUGAAAAUUUACUGACAUUAGAAGCAUAUCCAGGUUGAGAUAAAGGUCCUCCAAUGGAAGGCUGACUGUUUGGAUUAUCUAAUGCAGGAAAGUUGAAGUUAGAUCCAAUACUUCCGACCGGCUGCUGGGAGCCUUGAUGGUGAGGGAGAUGACUACCAAUUGGGGCAUUGGCGUUGCCACGUCCAGCCCCAAAACCCCGGCUACCUGGCUGUGGAACAUGAGGAACAGCUCCAACAGGCCCAUGGACAGCACCACGAGUAGGAAUUGCAUAUGGUUGUGGAGGGCCUCCGUGGUAAGGGGGAAAGGGAACCCGAGGCAUCGGAUAACCAAUAGGAUGAACACCGGGUUUCUGAGUACCAUUGGGUACACCAGGUGCCAUAUAAGAACCUACCAAAAAUUAUUAAAAAUAUCCUUAGGAAAGCAGACAAAUACAUAUAUAAAUAUACUUGAGAUUCUAAUAAUAAUAAAAAUGCUCCUUCGCUUUUUCCUAGUUUCUCCAAAACCAUUUUGAGAAGAACUCUACAAUACGAAGAACAGCAAAAGCAGGGUUCCUGACAAAUAAUCAGAUGAAACAGAAACAUAUUCCAACGCAGGAAUCCUAUGUGCCAUACAACAUUCAAACAAACAAUUCACAGCCAGUUGGGGGAAGUUCAAGUUCACCAUACCCCUAGGACGACUAUUUCUCCUGUCAGCACUGGAGCCUAAAGCAGAUCCAAAACUGUCACCUGGAACUGCUCCAGGUCCACCACCAAAGAAGAGUCUGCGCUCAUUGUAGAUCUGCAAACCCAUGACACAAAAAGACACCUCAAUACUGAUGCAUAAUCAUGCACGAGCAGACAUGUAACUUAAGUAGAGUAUUUAACCACCAUCAGUACCUUUUUGGGCUUCUGAAAUUGAACCAUGCUCUGUUUUAAGUUAUUGAGAGGACCUUCUACCAAGCACUCGUGCUCCUGCAAGAAAAAUGCAUUGAAGUAUGAACAUCUCAAAAGCAUCAAACACCUACUGACAUCUACACUUUAUACGUCCCUAAGUAUGCAUAUAAUAACAACAAGAUAUAUUUAGCCCAAAAGACUAACCAUCUAAUGUUAGGUCAAACUUGCCAGGUCAUGACUACUUCGAAGAGCAGAGAAAACAUGACAUAAUGCUUAAGUAGUAUUACCAAAGGAGAACAUUUUGAAGAUAUUACCUUGUAGUGUGUUAACAAACCAUUCCACAGAGGCUGUUUGCUCAAGACUUUAGGAUUUCCCAGGAUAACAAUACCAUAACGAGCACGGGUAAGAGCAACAUUAAGCCUGCGUGGAUCAUUAAGGAACCCAAUGCCCUAAAAGAAAGGAGAAAUUAAAAAAAGUCAAAACUUAUGGUUUAAUAGAGAACAGAUGGGACAUGGUGGAAUAGAUUAAAGCACAUGCACAAGAGAGAUGCAGAUCCACCUUGACAAAAUAUAUUAAGCAAGCAAGUACUCAUAAAAACAUAUAUCAACGCCAACAAAAUGUUUCCUACCUCCUGAACACCGAGAUAAAAAGGAAAUGGAACUUUUGCAAACAAAGACCCCAGAGGAGGGAAAAGAGGGAAGGCGUUGUGGUUCAGAGGAUACAAAAAUUGACAACACAACAUAACAAAUCUAAAUAUUUAAAACUAAACAAUUGAGCAUCAAACAAGAGAAAAUCAAUGGAUAAAGCCAACCUGAUGUUCAUUACUCCUGACACACGACAAAAUAAUAUAAUCCUUCUCCCUCCCUUGAAAUGAAUCUACACUUGCAACCUGAACAUAAGCAAAUACUCAAAAUAAGUACUAAUAAUCCAAGGAAACUGUAAUGCCAAUGUAUUAACUGCUUACCUCGAUUUCCUUGUAGAGUUGUUGUCUUAGGGAACCAUUUCUUGCCAUAUAAUUCACAAUAUAUGCCCGUUGACCCUCAUAUGGUGUUAUGACCCCAAUCUGUGAAUAUAUAAUAAUUGCAUUCUUACCACCAAAUGAAGGUGUUCAGCAUUAAGGAUGCAAAUAAGAAUGUACCUGACUGGGGACUACCCCACUCUUAAGAAAUGUAGUCACAAUCUUCUCCACAUUUGCAGCUUCAGUUCUAUUCAGAUAGGAAGUUCCACUAGCACUGAUCUCCUCUUGUCCCAUCUACAGAUAAAUUACCAAGUAUUCAAGUUUAAAUAUAUCAGUCAUAACAGGAAAAAAGUCAUCAAACAAUAUCAAAGAAGCACCAAGAGGCCUUCCGAGAAAUAAUCAUUAAUAUUUCCAUAACCAUCAUAGUAACAUCCAGGUGACCCAAAACAAGAAAUCACAGAAUUUUCCGUGACUCAGACAAGAAGAACUGAAGAUGAAUCAGCUAAACAAAUCGGAUAGUACCUGAACAUAGAAGAACAUGGGACGGUUGGGCACAGGCCAAGGAAAAUCAAUUCCUGAUGAUAGUCUUUCAUUGACGGUUACACCAUUUUGAAGUGUACCUUCAUAAAAGCUAUUUGAUGGGAACUCAGACAAUGCAGGGUGCAUACGGUAUUGUACCUGGAAUUGCAAGCAAAACAGACAACAGAAUCAACAUUAGUAAUGGAAAAAUAAGAAGUCUGACACUUCCAAAUUUAAUAGCUAAAUAAUGGUAAACAGUACUUUGAAAGAGUAUGUGAGCAAGCAACACCCAAAAAGUUCAAGGAAACAGAAAGACAGAAAGAGCCAACCAGGAGGGAACAAAAGACAGCUAAAAUGAGAGGUAAAGAAACUCAGAAAAGGUCAGACACACAAGUAUUACUAGAUAAUGAAAAACUAGAUAUCCAAAUAACAUAAUGCUGUGUGAAGCAUAGAAAAAACAUAAAACCUUAAAACUAGAAUAUCAGGGUGAUGGCAAGUGGCAGAUUGGAAAACACAAUAUAAAAUGACAUGAACAUCUUCAUCCAACCACCACCACCCAAAAGAAAGGGAAAGAAGACUCCUCAAAUCAACAUAGAUGACGAAGGAUCCCUUCAAUCGAUAUGGCAACUAUAUGAGAAACAAGAGAAUAACUGGAAAAAGAGAAUCUUCAAAUUUCACUUCAGCCCCCAACACCCUGGAUGGACAUGUUAACACGUCCAACAGACUCAGAUAAUCACCUGUAACCUAAUUGGUUUCACGCCUAGAAACACAAGGCGUUCAAAGAGAGAUUGAGCCAGCCCAGCACGAGCCGCUUUCUUGCACAUAAUGACAGGUCCAAGCUGGCAAUGAUCACCGACAAGAACAGCCUAGCACAAAACUCAGAGUAAGAAUCCAACAUCGUAUUACAUUUCAGUAUGACAAUUUUUUUAUGAAUGAAGACAUUAAUUGCAAUAAUGACCUGCUUUGCACCAAGAACCAAAGGAAUGAGACAUUCAGGCUCCGUAGCCUGAGUGGAUUCAUCAAUGAGCACCUACGAAGGGGUUUAACAGAAAUGUUAAAACCAGCAUGAAUGAGUACAUAAGAACAAAAAAACAGAAAAGCUAAAAUAGUUGACAAAAAAAUUAGUUUUGUGUAAUAAGGCAAACCAACCUGGCGGAAUCUGAAAUUAGCCAAUCUAGGAUCUCCAGCACCAACGCAUGUGCAACAAAUGACAUCAGCACUCUGAGCUAUUUCCCUCUCUGUUGCCCGCUUCAGAGCUUUAUAUUUCUUCUCAUCACUACUGGAAAGCUCUCCUGAAAGUCCAUUAAAUCAAAUGACUUUGAAUCAGGUGCACACAUUUAGAAUGCUCUAAUAAAGGAUAUUAAAUAAGAAAUAGAAAGGAAAAAACAGAGGACAACUCCAAAAAUAUCCCCAGGUAAAUGCUAAAUCCCUAUACAAGUGUGUGGCCAAAGACUGCAACACCAACCUUGUUCAUCUUUCAGUUGCUGUAACUUAUGAAGUUCACUCUUCUCAGACGUGUCAAGAUGGCGAACCUGUAUAGACAAAAGUUCAAAAGAUAACAUUAAAAAGAGAACGAUAUAUAAACAUUUGAGGAUAAAAAAUUAAAAAGUAACCUGAUAGUGAAGGGUUAAAUGCUCGACAGGAGAACUGACAGCUUCCCUUGACUUGGCACAGAGCCUGACCACCUGGGGAAAAGAAAAUGAAAUAAGGAGGGACCAAAAAUCUCACAAAUUAAAGAAAAAGAUAAUGAUGGAAUUUUUUAUUCACUUCUAUUAUAUUUCUUAUAUUUCUUAUAUUUCCAAUACUUCUAGACUCCUAUCUCCUUCUCCUUCUCCUUCAGUUUGUGUGCAUGGGUGGGACAAGGUCAAUUGGGAAGGAUAUAGGAGAUUCAUUUUUAACCUUCAGUUUACUGACAUACUCAAUCCUUCUGGGGAUAUAAAGAACUCGUUUUUCAGCUCAUCAUCAUAAAAGAGGACAUUCUGCCAGAUGAUUCCACUAGAUAUUUGCAUAAAUGUGGAUUGACCACUAAAAUAGUGAUUGAGCUUAUUAGCCAGUUCAAGAUGUCUUCAUGGAGCUUUUUUCCCACUCAUAUUGGGGAUGGGAAGGAGAUAAAGAAAUAGCUGGUGCCUCACCUUCAGACCGGUGGCACUUAUCUUCUCAGCUAAUUGGUCCACAGCCACGUUACUGGGGGCACAGACCAAAACCUGGUGAAAAAAUAGUUAACAACAACUAAAAAUAGCCAGUAAAUCAAGCGACUAACAUCGAGAACAAAAAUAGGGAAAAAGGACAUCAAAGUUACCUGUCCUUGGCCUUGUUUCGCCAUAUGAUACACAAUGGCGGCAGAGGUGACAGUUUUUCCAGUUCCAGGUGGACCUUGAAUUAAACUGAUGGGCUUCUGAAGAACACUUUUUACAGCAAAAACCUAACAAUAUGAACAUGUCAAAAUAAGACAACCAGAAGUAUAACAAUUCUCACUGUCAAAAAAUAUCCUGUUCAAUAAGGUAUCCCUAAAAAUAAUUGGGAGCAUGGUCAAUAUCAAAGAUAAAAAAAAAUAUGAUGAACUAGCAGAUGGAGCACUCAACCUGAGAUGCAUUAAGCUCCGGAAGACCAGGAGCACCAAAACGACGUGGAAGUGUAUUCCGGACCAUCUGCAUCUCAACUUCAUGACCUAACAGAUGAUGGUAAAUAUACCUGCAUAAGAGGCAAAAAGAAUACAAAACUAAAUACUCCAACAUAGAAGUUACAAACUGGUCAACCCAAAUAAAGUUGGUGGUUAAAUCUAUGAAUCCGGCAUUCCUCUUUUUUAAAAGGUUUUCACUGGCAUCAAGGAGAUGCAUACGAGUUACAAAAUAGUAGCAAAAAUAACUGGCAUUCCUUGUAGUGCAUAAAUUAAUUCAAAGUUUAUUCAUGAUACCAAGAAUGGGAAACAAACGCAAAGAUGCACUACCAUAAAUAUUCCAACGGUGACAAAACUUAAAAAAGAACAGACAUUACUCUAAACAUGAAAUGAAGGAGAAAGAAGGCACAAGCUGAUCUGAUUUUAGAUAGAAUUAUAAAUCUUAGGCAGGUAACACGAUUAAGGACAUGAAAUCUUCACAAUUGUUUUAAAUUGUUCUAUGGUAGAACCCAAAGAUUCUCACUCACCCACUGACACUAGUCUCAUCCACUGCAAAGGUUUUCAUUGCACUCUGCAUCCGAUCAAAGCUCGUACUUUUCCAAACAAAGUCAACACUAAACCCGUGGUUCACAUCGACUGGAACCCCCUGAUGAGACAGGAAUAGUUUAGCAAAGACCCAAAAUACAAACAAACACAUGGUGAAAAAAAGAGAAGAAAAUAUUACAAUGAGACUAGCAAUCUAAAAUCUAAGGUACCUGGCUGACACGAAGUUCAAGCGCAACCUCUUCUUGAGCAGUUAAUUUUACCUGAAAAAUGAAUAGCCAACCAAUAUCUCAAGAGUACAAACCGCAAAAGAAAUCCUUAAAAAAAAUUGAGAAAAAAGGAAACCAGGGGCUUUGGGAGAAGUUCUUUUAAGAAUAUUUUCCACACUAAUUAAAUUUUUCAUGAUGCAGGGAGCCUUUGUCUUUCCAACCAAAUUGUCUCUACUUGUUAAGGGUGUUUGUGGUUAGCCAGACUCCACACUAUAUUUUCCCUCACAAAAAGAUUAGGCUAUCAAGACAAAAGGUCCAUACCACGUGCCCCACAGAUUGCCAAGCUGGAUGAGCUGCAUCCCCGGAAUAUCGUAGCCUUAGCUCAUCACCAGGUACAAGACGCAACUCAUUAUCUUCCUGAAAAAGCAGCAGACUAUCUUCAGUUCAGGUAGGUAAAGACAAUAAAAGGUUUCCAUGCCAUGAUUGAAAUAAUAAAUGACAACAAAAAGCACUAUAACAGUCCACGAAUCUAGAAGAAUCACGGUAGAAAAAAAGAAGUAACAAGGAAAUACCUUCGGGAACACAAAAUAUGCAACGCGCUUCUUGUUGAGACCAAUAUCCCAUCGAAUAGUAAGAUUGUCUUUACUUUGAGACUCUUUCAUCAUCUACCAAGCAGAAAACAAAAUUCCAAAGCUUGUAAGCAUACCCUCAAGAAAAGUAUAAACUCUACUUAAAGGCAAAAGAACAAGAUGAGCAAAUUAAAAAGUAUCACAUCUUUGCUCAUGAGAAACACAGAGAGUAGUAACUGACAUGUCUUAGUUCAAUUGUCACGAAGAUUAAGAACCAAGAAGAAAGAGUCAAUCAAGUGUAAAUGCAAUUGUCCUCAUAAAUUCAGCACUUCUACGGCCAAAACUCACUAUCAGGCAACUUAAGAAGUAACACACCCACUAUCCAAAAGCAAAAGUGAGAAGACACAGGUAGCUUUAAAUAAAAAUACAUGAUAUUUCAGGAUGCAACAAAAAGCUAAGAAAAUAAAAUAGGAUUAAGCAUUCAGGCACCAGCAUCUAAAAUAAUCUUAAGAUCCUGACAUACCUUAUCAUAGUCAGCUUCAAGCUUGAUCAAUGGUGCAAAUAUGUUUUGAUACUACAUUAAAAGAGUCAAGGCAAGCAUAGUUAAAAUGCCAAUACUCAAUCCAGGGGCAACUCACAACUACAUAGCAGAAUAAUUCCUGCAAUGCAUCUCUAUACAAAUAAAAGGUAAAGGAGAUAAUAUAAUUGUAUCACCCAGCGAGAACCUGAUAGGCAUCUUCAUACUUCAAGGCAACAGGCUGAGGCUCAUCAUCCACACCAGGCUUCUCAAGAUCUUCCAGGGUAGCAUCAGGAUUUGUCUUCCACAAUUCUUCUACUUUGUUGAUUUGUUGAGCACUGAUCUGGCGCGCUCUCAACUGUUCUUGCUCGGAAGGGACCUGCAGCACUCCACACAUCACAAAUACAGGACCGAAAACAGAAACCAAAAGGAACAGAAGGGAAGACUAAGAAAGAGAAUCCGGACCUUAACAAGCCACUGCAAAAAGCACCUGUCAUCAAUGAGUGGGCACCACUGACUCAGGUCCCAGUUCAUAUCCUUUAAUGCAUUAACACUUAGACAAGGUUCUCUACAGAGGAGAACAACGACACUCUCUGUCUUGGCAGAAAUGAAGCCAAGAAGAAAGACAUUUCGGCAUCCACAAUUGUAGCACUCUAGAAUUGUUUCUCCAAGUGGACUGUCUUUAUGAAGACACACCUCCUUGUGUUUUGCUCGCACCUAUAGGAUGAAGUUGAGUAUAUACAACGUCAACCAAAAAAAACACAAUAAAUCCCUUGUUUCUGGAAAUAAAAUCAUAGACUCCCCAAUUGUAGGAAAAGUCAAGAGGAAUAUAACUCUCCAAUGUAAAUCCAUUAAGCAUAAGUGGCCAAUCAAACUGUCUAGAAUGGUGACACUAACAAAAUAUAACAUGCAUUUAAGAUUUUGUAUUUUGUCAGGAAAUUCCCACAGUUUGGAUCAUCUAGAGACAAUUCACUUCCUUAUAAACUAAGAAAGGUGAUGCUUUGGCUUUUCUCCCUGAUGAACAUAUAGAGAGUUUCCCUUUCAACUUCUCUCACAUGAAUAAAUAAGGAACUAUGGUGGAGAUGAAAAUUGCAUGAUUCAGACAAAAGUCAAAACCUUCUUUUUAUUGGGAUAAGAGUUUAUUUUAUCCAAGAGAUCCCCCAGCACAAAAGAGCUGGAAAUAUACAUUACAAAAAAAAAAGAGAAAACCAUAGUUUGUUCACUAAACUUAUCAUAAACUGAGGAAAUCUAGAGUUGAACUCUGAGGAAACUCCUUCUGUUAAAAGAUUGAUGAAGCUAGAUAUAAAUCUACUAUUAUCAUUUUUGUAUAACUCAGACCAACCACUUGUGAUUAUCCUAUUUUUAAUAACAUUUUUAUGGUAACGGCAUUAGUUUUAUUUUCUGAAUAAAUGGCAUCCCAUUGGGUCAUAUUACUAAAGAUAGACUAACAACAGAUCUGAGAAAAUAGGCAAAAUUGUCUUUCCAACAGUAAUCACCUACUACUAAAAUCCAUCUCAAUUAACAUGAAGAAACAGAAUAAAGACUAAUUGGCUAGUCGUGUAUGAUCACUAAGUCAAAGAUAAUUGCAUAAGCUUCACCUACUUCACUUUUCUGGUGCAACCCUGUACAAGUAUUUCCCAUUCCAUACUUCUCCAUGUUUAACCAUGUCCAUACUUUUUCCUCACACAAGUUCCCAGAGAGAACAGAGAGGGGCCAGGGACAAAAGGAGACUACCACAUUAUCUGAAACACGCCCCUGCCACAAGAAAUCCACCUCUUCUGCAGCACCCACUCUUUCUGCAGCUAGUGAGGCACAGCACUGCCUUUUGCUUGAACUAUAUAUACCUCUAUUAAGUCCAAGGGAGUAGUGGGUGUGAGGUUUUCAGACUUAAAUCCUGCUUUUGGUAACAAAAUGCGGUCAGAAAAUUUUGUGCUUCAUUCAAUCACUAUAACUGGAAUCAUCUCAAUUCAUCAUCCAAAUAAACUACAAAAGGAAAAACCAACGCAUCUUCAGCUUACCAAGGGCAUGGCCUUAGGUAAGAGGAUAUGAAGGUUGCAGAUAAAGGUAGAAGGUUAGUAGGUAGUGAUGUUGUCUCACUUUCCAAGGGGAUAGGCUUGGUGGUAAUUUGAUGCAUUCUACCUGUUUCUCCUUUCAUACCAGUAGUAGUAGCAUUAAUCUUGUAGUUUAUUUCUGCUACUGCAUGUUGUUUCAUAUGCUUCGGUUAUUGUGUUAUUUGGCUGUUAUUACUGUUCCUUGUUUUCUAAAUGCUAUGUAAUGCUUUCUUAUGAUUUGAAAUGUCCUCUUUUCUACAGUAUUUUCCUUUUCAAACUGCUUUGAUAUGUGAUAUUUUAGCCAGAGUGUCUUUCCGAAACGGUCUCAACCCUCCCCAUAUGUAUGUUGUUGUUGAUGAUGAUUUAUUUUUGUCUUUUAAUACAAAGAUACUCAUCAGAAACAAAUUAUUUAUAUUAAUAAAGCUAUUUUGAUUCACUAAUCCACAAGAAUCAAAAUAAGCUAAAAUUAAAAUGCACAUAUCUCCUCUUACAUACCAGGUGAUUAACAAUAUGCGAGCCCGAAGUGUUCCCUCUGGAAUUACAGAACCACUUACGGCAAGAUGGCACAUUGCACCUAACUACACAAGCAGGAUUCGCCACUCCACAGUACUUACAAGCAUGCUCAACCCCAAAAUCCCCUUUUCCAUACUCAAAACCCUCAUCAUCCCCUGUCUCUUCAAAAUUCAACCCACUCAUCCCCGCUGCCAAUGCAUCCACCACCGACGCCUGAUUACUACUACUACUAACAUUACUAUUCCCACCUCCACCUCGUGAUUUCGUCGACGGCGAUGCUUCCGACGAUGGAGGCCGAUCAGGUACUUCAGAUACCAGAGAAUCAGAUGGUGUUGGCCACGCAGAAGAUCGAAUUGGCUGUGAAAGCUCUUGAAAUUCAGGAUAAUCAAACUCUUCCCCUUGUGUGUUGAAUUCCAGAAAUGUGUAUGCGUCGUUGCCGGUAUCCGGCUGAGACGCCGUGUCGUAGAGAUUGUUCGGCUGAGAAUCCAUGGUAAAAAAAUCCUUCAACUGCUUCUUACACUGUAUACUUUUCUUCACCAAAAUCAAAAACUGUAUAAUGAAAAACUAGCGUUAAAGGCUGAAUUUUUGCAUGAAAAUUAUGGAUUUUUCGAAGUGAGAUUUUGGUAGAGUGUUCGAAUUUUAGGGUUUGGAAAAAAAAUGGGGAAAGUUAGGGUUCGGUGAAAGGGCCGAUGAAGAAGAAGAAAGAUAUGUUUUUAAGGAAAAAAAAAAUUAAUUGUACAACCAAAAUGUCAUUAUAUUUAACUUUUUAUAGUAUUAUUAAUUUAAUGGUAAUUAAUAUUUAUUUCAAAUAAAAAAAAAUUAAUGUGCAUCAUUUUAUUUUAUUUUACUUUGUAUGUAAUAAAUAGAUAUAUUUUGUUUUGAAAAUAUAAUUAUAUAUUUAAUGAAAUAUCAAAAAAUAGGGUAUGGAGAAAGUAGAAUUUACGCGGCCCCAUUAUAAGAAAAAAAAUUUAAAAUGUUAUUGAAAAUGUUAUUUUAUUUCGAAUAUAUUAUAAGAAAAAAAAUUCGAAUAUAUUAAAAAUGUUAUUUUAUUUCAUUUAACUUUUUUUAUCACAAGAGAUAUCCGCAAUUGCUAUUCUAUGAAUGUGCUUGAGGUAAAAUUCUUGUUUGUAUGCAAUAGAGCUCACAAACCACACCAAAAAGGUAAUCCGCACUAGGCAAUUCUUAUUAUAUUUGACUUCCUAUAGUAUUAUUUUAAUUGUGAUUGAUGGAUUUUGUAUUUGGACUUUUUUUCUUCAUGAGUUAUCUAACAAGUAAGAGAGCGUGAUAAUUGCUAAAUCACCAACUAAAAUUGUUGUUUUCAUCGAGAAGUUGAUCUUAUAAUUGAUAUGAUAGUGAUGUUGGUUGCAACUAUAGCACAAUGAUUAGCUUUUGAUAAUCGAUAACUUCAUUCUUAAUAAAAGUUACAUAUUUAGAUCAUCUUGAAUAUGGAGUUGUGUUCAUUUGGGAGCAUUUUGCCUCCUAAUGUAAGAUUUCCCAACAUGAAUUCAAAUUAAUCAAACUCUAACGCAUAUAUCAAACAUUAGGUGCCACUAACAUUGUACGUUUGAAUAUCGUACAGUUUCUAUCUAAAUUGUCACCAUCUAUGCAAUAAAAUACACUUGAUUGAACAAAUGGUGAUAGUUCAAAUAGAAGAAAAAAAACAAUUGAUAAUUGACCUAUUCAGCUUCAAUAUGUCUUAAUAUAUAGAUGAUGAUAGUACCAACAGGAAAAGAGAAUAAUUGAUAAUCAGAAUUGAAACACACAAAAAAAAAAAAUAGUUAACUUGUGGCUUUGACUAUUAAGCUGAAUCUUUUACACAUUAUGUAUACUAAUUUUUUGACACGUUUGUGUUGCCCGUGGAUUCUAAUUCCUUUAGUACACAAUUUAAGUAAAAUUGCAUCAAAAUUAUGUAACUGAUAUUCCUGAAUAGAUCUGCUCCAAGAACAAAAAGUUCCUCAACUUUUUUUUAACUCAUAGAUGGUGUUUACAUUAACUCAACAACUACAUGACACAUGUCG
RNAcentral lists this long non-coding RNA (16434 nucleotides) under Solanum tuberosum (potato). RNAcentral's name for it is "long non-coding RNA (STUB_LNC007810)". The record is from RNAcentral. Lineage: Eukaryota; Viridiplantae; Streptophyta; Magnoliopsida; Solanales; Solanaceae.